This 19-nucleotide small nuclear RNA is filed under the name Arabidopsis thaliana (thale cress). Its description in RNAcentral is "snRNA_12515". Lineage: Eukaryota; Viridiplantae; Streptophyta; Magnoliopsida; Brassicales; Brassicaceae. The record is from RNAcentral.
AAUGGGACAACAAUGGAGA